GAAAAAUAAAAUAUAACCCCACCACAAAACAGACAAGAACAGCAGAGAAAUUUGUGUCCACCGUCUUCAAGACUUAGGAAAUGAGCAUCAUCAAAGAACAAACAAAAAAGUCCACAGCUCAAGUGUCAACAAGAGCCUGUUGCUGCCGCCGCCGCUGCCGAAUUUCAACUGCUUUGGACUGAAAAUGUCAUGAGCGUGGGUGGUGCCUUCGAUGUGUCACUGUUGAAUGACAGUCUUGUUUCCCAAGUGCAACCUGUGUUCUCUCAGCCUUCCUCCCUCCCUUCUGUUUUCUGCAGUGGUAGAUGUUUCCAUCCUCCCUGUGUUGGUAAAAGCCCACCCCGUCACACCCUCUGAGGGGGCUGCCCCAAUCUGCAAAGACCCAGACCUCCCACCCUCCCACACUGUCAGAGCCCCGCAAGCCCCACCGUUUUCUAGCUCCCUCAACCUGUGAAGCAUCUCUGGGUCCCAUCUUUCCCAGGGUCCCUCCAGUCCAUCUCCCCGGACAGAGCAAGGCCGUCAUCUCCCGUCCACAAUUCCCUGGGGUAGGUGUUCAGAUUGGUUCUCAUCGUGAGUGGGUAUCCCAAGAAAGUCAGGUGUCCUGCCAGUUCCGUUUGUUUGGUGGAAGCCCAAAGAGGGGAGUUGACAGAGAAGAGAUUUUCAUUUACAGCGGGACGUUUUCAGCCCGUCCCUAAAGGGCUUAGCUGAUGAGCAGGAACCUGGGAGAGGCCCCGAGCUCUUCCGGUAUCGGGAGCUGCACCUGGUCUAGUCCUGCAAGACUCUUCCUGGAAUGCUGGACGGCAUUCUGCCUUCCCUACUCUCUGCUCGCACAUCGGGGCAGGGAAACCAGCCGGGAAUGCUCUUUCUUACUCCCUGCUGAUCUGGGGACGUUGACCGUGCAUUUUCUCGCUCUGGGCUUUACUCUCCCAUCUGAAACAUGGGGAACUGGGGUGAGAUCGAGCUUUUCAGGCUUUUUGGAAUAGCAAAACCUCUGCCCAUUUUUUUUUUUUUUUUUAAAGCGAAAGACCCUCUGUAAGAUCCCUGUGUAUAGGAGGGUCUGUGCUGGAUGAAGUAGGGGUGGGAGAUUUAGUGCCCGCUUUCUCAGCUGCUUGGCUGAAACCCCACCUCUCCUCACUGUGGAGUAAACUCCCCUGGGUUUGGUCAGUGUUUCCUUGAUGUUAUCUGUGUACCUGCAGCACAUGUCCAGCAUCUCUGUGUGCCACUGUCACAGUAUUUGUACCUAAAUCAAUUCAUUUCUCACACAUUUAACUUUGGAAAGGAAAACUUUCCACCAUUAUGGCAAAUAGCAAACCAAUAUCAGUCCCUCUAAAAGGAAAGUAAGUAUAAAAUCAGUACCAAAGUAACAGUGCAGCCGUUGUUCUGUUCUAGCCUCAGGCUAUUGACCAUGGAAGGGUUUGAAGCUGAAGCCUGGCAUUUGCUCCCUUCAUUCUCUCCCCUUCUCUUCCUUCCCUGCCUUCCCUUUCUUUCCCUCUCCCCUUAUCUUUAUUAAAAACAGAUUAGCAGAUAUUAAAGAGUUGUUAAAGACAUACUGGCACUCCAUGAAAACUUUCUCCUUGAAGUAAUCAAAUGGACGGAUGAAAAUGAAAAAAGAAUCAUUUCUUAUGUGACUCCAUAUUCAUCAGUGCUCUAUCCGUGUAUUUAUGACUCAAAAAUCUCCUCGCAUCGGCAAGUGGUACACAGCGCAAACUUCAGGAAAUACUGGGUGGGCUUGUCCGUGAGGUUCCAUCCAGCACAUAAGUUCUAUAAUUCUAGUCUCCCUUUUAGCUCCCUUCCGCUCCUAGCCCUCCAUCCCCUUCGCCUGACCUUUAUCCCAGCCCUGAUUAAGGACCUUCUUGAUCUCUGAAUCUAGGGGAUUUAUUCUUCGUGUUCCGUCUCUUCUGAGUAAACUUCAUGCAGUGGGUUUUAUUAGCUGGAGCUCUGCAGCUAGAAUUUGGGCAGCAGAGUUGCAGCGUGGUCCAUAAGAUGUAGCAGUGUUGAGAGUCCCAAGAAGAACAGUACUUCUCAGCCUCGUUACCUUUCUGUUGGCUAUGGGAGCUGAACUGAGGUGGGGGAGGGCUUGGACACGGAAGUUGAUUCUUUGGCUUCUUCUAGGGAGGGUGGACAGACAUCGUGAGACUGAAAGUUGAUCAUGAAAGAUGUCCUGGGGAACUGUGACUGCCGUGUAUCAGCAAGGAUUGUUUAGCUAGAAUGGAGGGACUUAGAAGAGAGAAGUCAGAACAAUGUAGGGAGACUUUCCCUUCCCCAUCUCAUGCCCUGGCAGUAGCCUCUUCGUCUUCUCUUUAGCUACCCGCCCAACUUCCAACCCAAAGGGCCCAGAGUCUGACUGCCCUUUGCCCUCCCAGAGCGUCUCAGCCUCCACCUGCCUUGGGCUCCGCCUGGCAUCCCCCCACCCUCAAACUCCCCCCAGUUUUUUGUGUAAAUGGAGCAUAUUUUAUGUGCGAAUAUUUUAGUAACCAUAUGUUCUGCAAGUAAACCUGUGUUAAUACUUGUCAACAACUGCAGAGUUUAUGAUACCAAUAAUACUUCCUACAAUGAAGAGAAAAAAAAAAAAACAUUUGUUUGUUUUCUAAGAAUGUUUAUUUGUAAACAUAUGUAUUCACUAUAUUAAUAUGAAUUUCUUACCUGGCAAUAAAACUGAUUAU
This 2660-nucleotide long non-coding RNA is filed under the name Sus scrofa (pig). RNAcentral's name for it is "lncRNA (ENSSSCG00025019458.1, ENSSSCG00035045244.1)". The record is from RNAcentral. Lineage: Eukaryota; Metazoa; Chordata; Mammalia; Artiodactyla; Suidae.